UUGGAGGGCAAGUCUGGUGCCAGCAGCCGCGGUAAUUCCAGCUCCAAUAGCGUAUAUUAAAGUUGUUGCAGUUAAAAAGCUCGUAGUUGAAUUUCGGGACCAAUAUGUCGGUCGUGCUUCGGUACGUACUUGCAUUAUUGGUUUCUCCCUUCUGAGGAACCAUGAUGUCAUUAAUUUGGUGUCGUGGGAAAUCAGGACUGUUACUUUGAAAAAAUUAGAGUGUUUAAAGCAGGCUCGCGCUUGAAUACAUUAGCAUGGAAUAAUGAAAUAGGACGUUUGAUUCUAUUUUGUUGGUUUCUAGGAUCGACGUAAUGAUUAAUAGGGAUAGUUGGGGGCGUUAGUAUUCAAUUGUCAGAGGUGAAAUUCUUGGAUUUAUUGAAGACUAACUACUGCGAAAGCAUUUGCCAAGGAUGUUUUCAUUAAUCAAGAACGAAAGUUAGGGGAUCGAAGACGAUCAGAUACCGUCGUAGUCUUAACCAUAAACUAUGCCGACUAGGGAUCGGAUGAUGUUAUUUUUGAUGACUCAUUCGGCGCCUUACGGGAAAC
Molecule: ribosomal RNA, 546 nt
Filed under: uncultured Glomus
Lineage: Eukaryota; Fungi; Glomeromycota; Glomeromycetes; Glomerales; Glomeraceae
Description: SSU rRNA
Rfam family: Eukaryotic small subunit ribosomal RNA
Source: RNAcentral